UCAAACUUGGUCAUUUAGAGGAAGUAAAAGUCGUAACAAGGUUUCCGUAGGUGAACCUGCGGAAGGAUCAUUAACGAGCAUGAAUUGCACGAUUAGAGUUGAGCUGGUUAACCUAGUUAACAAGUGCUCAUUCUAAUCGACAAAUCCACUCAUUACUUAACACCUGUGAACUUAUCUAUUAUAAACAUUAUAAUAUGUCAUUGGAACGUUUGAUUAUAAUAAGUUAAUACAACUUUCAACAACGGAUCUCUUGGCUCUCGCAUCGAUGAAGAACGCAGC
This 279-nucleotide unclassified non-coding RNA is filed under the name uncultured fungus. Its description in RNAcentral is "partial contains small subunit ribosomal RNA, internal transcribed spacer 1, and 5.8S ribosomal RNA". The stretch from base 1 to 73 matches the Rfam family "Eukaryotic small subunit ribosomal RNA", at positions 1759 to 1831 of the family's 1831-position model. The record is from RNAcentral. Lineage: Eukaryota; Fungi.